GCAGAUCCUUAAAUUCCUUUAAUUUUACAUUAGGAUAUAAAAUCGCUCAUUCUAAUGGGUUGGUAAAUGCAUAGACCUUCGGAAGUCCCAUUGAUGAAAACACAGCGCAGGCGGCGGGAAAUAUACUAUUAUUUCUGCCCUGGCUGUAUUUCCAUUCCCUAAUAACAAUAAUGAACUUGAAGCACCCCAUUUGCAUACAGAUGGGUCUCGUCUCUUGCUUUACGGCAGCUAUGCAGUUAAGCCUGUCACCGAUGUGCACUUCCCAGCCUCCAAACACAAUUUAAAGACCGCUUCACGGAGAGGCGAAUUACAGCCAUGUGUUUAAGCAUUAGGGCUGUGGCUUUUCUAAAGACUGCUGGCACCAUCGCCAAGUUCCACCGCGUGUUAGAGUCCGUCACAAGUUCCGAGCUGCUACAGCUCAUGGACUGUGGCUGUCCUUCAAAUGUCGCACCGUCCCCACCGGUGUCAUCCCAGCUCCUGGGGCGGGUUACUGCCGCCCACUCCACUUCCCGGCCGUGACGCGGCUCCUUCCUUCCUUCCCUCCCCCUCCUCACUCCUGCGCCAUGCGUCAUGCCCGGCACCUGCACCAGCAGAGUCCCGAGCUGCUUUGCCGCCAGCGGAAGCUCAGUCAGCCUCAGCCAACUGGUGGGCAGGAGGAGACCGUGCGAACCAGCCUUGAGGGGCCCUGAGGGAGCACCGCGGGAGGCCCGCCCGCACAGGGGCUUCGAGAACGUGUGUUCACCGAGGAAACAGCGGGUCGGGGGUUGGGAAGGCACCAAAGCAGAGGCACAGAUCUGCUGACCCACAGCCUUCUCCGGAAGGGCCAGGUGAGAGGCGACAGCGGGCGGGCGGAACGGCGAGCGGCCCAGGCUACUGACAGAUGACUGUUCAUCAAAUGACAAAGCCAUCUUCCUGUGCCUCCUCUAGCUCAGUCACAGGAGGGUUCCGACCCAGGACUAGGCAGGGUCAGCACCCCAACCCCGGCCUGAGGCAGCCAGAACAAGACAGACCUUCAGCCCCUCUCCAUCUGGUUGGCUUCUUGCAAUGACUUUCCAUGUUGGAGCAGAGAAGACAUCGAAGGUUGGCAGAGACCCUGGAGGAGGCCGGGUGAAUGCAGAAGGCUCUUCACUACCUGCGCCAAGACCGAGGUCCUGGGCAAACAGGGCAGCUCAGCCUGGUUCUCCAUCUACCCACACAGCAGGCUCAGUCCCUCCACAUCCCAACCCCAUAUGCUCUAAGUUGAACACUUUGCCUUUUUUAAUGCACUGAAUGACAGCACUGACUUUAGAUUCUUCCAGAAGGCCCUGUGUCAGAGCUGGAUUGUCACAGCUUCUGUGGUCAACAAGUCCACAACAGGGAAAGGCCCUGGAGCCCCAGCCAUGGGUCAAGGGUCUAGGUUUAUUUCACUGUGUCCUGAGAA
Fukomys damarensis (Damara mole-rat) is the source of this 1420-nucleotide long non-coding RNA. RefSeq lists it as uncharacterized. Lineage: Eukaryota; Metazoa; Chordata; Mammalia; Rodentia; Bathyergidae. The transcript has 3 exons. The record is from RefSeq and is a predicted model, not a curated record.